This is a long non-coding RNA of Colius striatus (speckled mousebird), 2028 nucleotides long. RefSeq lists it as uncharacterized. The transcript is spliced from 3 exons. The record is from RefSeq and is a predicted model, not a curated record. Lineage: Eukaryota; Metazoa; Chordata; Aves; Coliiformes; Coliidae.
UCCGCCCGCGGGAGCAGAGAUCGGCGACCGGUCACCUCGGGCCGGGCCCGUCACCGAAACGAGCCCCUCAGCGCCUCGUCUGUUCAUCUUCCCAGUAUCUCCAGGGAUGAGGACGCCCCCGCCUCUCUGGGCAGCCUGUUCCCGUGCUUAACAAUCCUCUCGGUAAAGUUCUUCCCAAUGUCCAGCCUGAACCUUAGAUGGGCACAGUUUAAAUCCGUUUCCCCUUGUCCUGUCAUUCGUUACAGGAGAGCUCGACCCCCACCCCGCCACAGCUCCCCGUCAGGUAGUUGUGGAGUGCCCGUGUGUCAGCCCCCUCCUCUCCAGGCUGAACGUCCCCAGCUCCCUCAGCCGCCCCUCAUCACACCUCUUCUCUAGACCCUUCCCCAGCUCUGAUGCCUGUCUCUGGACACGCUCCGGCACCCUCAUGUCCUUGUGGUGAGGAGCCCAAAACUCGAUGCUGUGCUGGCCCACGGCCCGUGUGAGGGAGCACCCGCCUUGCCCCAGAGCCUGCCCCCUGCGAGAGUCCCAACCCUCUGUAUUCCCCCUGCCUGUGGGGAGUUUUAGGCGUUGAGCACCGCGUGGGGAAUUCACAAAGGAGGCAAAUGCCCGGAGCCCCAAAACUGUGGCACUAACCCAGGUCACCCCUCAGGAAUAAAUCCUUGGCUUGCCCUGCAAAGCCUGUGUAGCUUCCCUUCCUCCCCUCUCUGCCAGAGGAGAUGGAUCUGGGAACUCAGGAUGUCUCAAAGGCAUAGGUGGGAUCAACACGAAUUAUCUUUCCCAAUGAGUGGAGAGCAGUGAGUGCCACAGGGUCACAGGGUCUCUUGAUGGUCCUGAUUUUUGAAAGGACAUCGUUUCAGAAGGCAUGACUCAUCAUGUGCAUUAAUAUCUUCCCUAAGAGAAUAACAAAAGCUUCUGCUGUUAUGUCACCAGGAAGAACAAUACGCUUUGGUGGGGCUGUGGUGGAGUAAAUGGCUGGUGCUGCUGUGGUACCGAGGGAGGGUGCUGGCCUACCAGCCGUGAAGCUCAUGCCUUUGCCUUUCAGUCUUAAAGCACAUUUAUUACCCUGAAUGAACAUUAAAAUGUUACUAAAAGCUUCACAGCUAGCAGAAGGGUGAUGGACCACAUAGCCCAAAAUAGAGACCUGACCUAUUAGUUGGGCAGUUUUUGCAAGUCAUUUCCCCCAGAUCCUCACCAUGGGACAACCUCGAGGGCCAGGAGCGCCUAAAGAGAGCGGUUACAAACCUUUGUGGGGUUACACAGCAAUUCAAGGUGGGUGGUGGUGAAAUGAAGUGCAGUUUUGGGGUUGUUAGACAGAAUUACUUUGAAAAGAGUACCUGGAACACAGCAUAAGUGCAAGGGCAGCCUUCACUGCGCUAGCACGCCCUGUCCCGCCUCGAGGAGAAACCACGCGCUUUCUGGCAAAGUAACUGCCAGGCCAUUCCAAGGGAAGGGUUUCAAUUACUUGUCAUCUGCACAUGUGUGGAUAUUGGACAAAUCACACUGCUGAAGCUGUGCACCUGUCUAUUUUGGGGCAUAUACUUUCCUUUCUGCAGCUUAAGAAGUCAGAGGAUAAACACUAGCAUCACUGAAGGUCUGAGCCUGCCUCAUUAUUGAGAAGGUAAAACUUUUUUGCAGAGAGCCUGUCACAUUCCUGUCUCUGAACAGACAUGAACACACCACACAAUCAGUAGCACCUGAUCGAACUGCCCCCACUGGAGAGAAAGCUCAGCUGCUUCAGGAAGAUUUUACUCUGUGGCUGGACCAGUUCUGGAAGCUGGAAAAGCAACAGGCUCCCAGGGCCAGGGAAGUGCCACAGCUAUUGAAUUUUGGGGAUUACACACGGAGGAUUAUGUUGAAUAAAACAAGAAGAACAUCAGCUCUUGGCCCAUCUUGCUGACUUGUAGGUCAGAGAGCCAAGUGCUGCAGUAAUGAUGCCUUAAACCCCCAACCUUCCCUUCUUAGAGGAUUUCUACCAUACAGGUUGUCCUCUUCACACAUGCUCACAAGCCUAUGCUUGGCUGCUCCUGC